UGUACAUUAGGGUGGGGAACCAGCAUUCAGGUUCUGAUCAUGUUAAUCGAGAGAUUAUCAGCUCAAGAUCGUGUCAAGGCUGAAGAGUUUAUUACCAAGGUAUUGUUCAACCUAGUGUCUUGAUUUUUUUUGUUAUUACUAAACGAAACGUCUUAUUUUCUUCAGCUUAUCACUCGGCACAACGAGCUCGAAGGUGAGAAAAUUGAGAUUAGGAAAAGAAGAAUGGAACUAGAGAAACGUCGUCUCGAUAUUGCUCGCGAGCUUCAUCGCCUCGAAGCCCAUCCUUCUGAUUGGAUCGAGAUAGGCCUCCAGGAGUACGGAAACAUGCCGGGUUGCAUUCUGAGCAUCGUUGACCUCGCAGGCCAAGGAGCAGAGCUAUUCCGUAAUCCAAGACCCUU
Molecule: long non-coding RNA, 398 nt
Filed under: Arabidopsis lyrata
Lineage: Eukaryota; Viridiplantae; Streptophyta; Magnoliopsida; Brassicales; Brassicaceae
Description: long non-coding RNA (ALYR_LNC000190)
Source: RNAcentral